CGCCCGGGUGAGUAACACGUAUGCAACCUGCCUGCCACAGCCGGAUAAUCGGGAGAAAUUCCGUCUAAUACGGCAUAAUGCAUCGACGGGACAUCCUGUUGGUGCCAAAGGUUGAUUCCGGUGGCGGAUGGGCAUGCGUCGCAUUAGUUAGUUGGCGGUGUAACGGACCACCAAGACGACGAUGCGUAGGGGUUCUGAGAGGAAGGUCCCCCACACUGGUACUGAGACACGGACCAGACUCCUACGGAAGGCAGCAG
RNAcentral lists this ribosomal RNA (257 nucleotides) under uncultured bacterium. RNAcentral describes it as "partial 16S ribosomal RNA". It matches the Rfam family "Bacterial small subunit ribosomal RNA", at positions 99 to 354 of the family's 1533-position model. The record is from RNAcentral.